GAACCCUCCAUCACUGGGACCACUGGAGAGGCCUGACUGCCAGCCUCCUCCCUAUUGACUAUGGGCCCUGGGUUUGUAAAGGCUUCUGCGGCUACCUCCAGCAGUAUAUCAUCUCAUCACUGGCAGAGGGGAUUAUCUCCGGCAGACAGCCAGGAUCUGCCACCAGGGAGUGACCACCAUUGUUUCAGUUUAAUGUUGUAUAAAUCAGCCCCCCCCCUCCCAUUGUAUUGUUAAUCUUGUUACUGCCCCUGUUGUCUCUGGGAGAUUAAGAGGGCAGUUUGUGUCCCAAUAUCUUGUUUUAUGUAAAUGUGUGUUUUGCUGGAUAUAUCCAGCCCUGUGUGUCUACAAUAAAUCAGUCUUCAGUUGGUUUUACCCUACACGAAGUCUCGGCUAGUGACUGGGGAACCGGGGAAAGUGUGUUGUCCCAGGCUAAGGGAGCUCAAAUCAGCGGAGGUAUCAGUCGGACUAUUCAGAUCCGUGACACUGGACUUAUGUUGAUGUCCACAUCCUUGUAUUGUUCCCCUCUGCCUAGCAUCUACUUCUCUAGAAUAAAUACUUGAGUGCAAAAA
Molecule: long non-coding RNA, 569 nt
Organism: Spea bombifrons (plains spadefoot toad)
Lineage: Eukaryota; Metazoa; Chordata; Amphibia; Anura; Pelobatidae
Exons: 2
Source: RefSeq, a predicted model, not a curated record